GCGCGAAAACUUUACAAUGCUGGCAACAGCGAUAAGGGAACCUCGAGUGCCAGGUUACAAGUCUGGCUGUCGAGAUGCCUAAAAAGCAUUUCAUAGCAAGGGCCGGGCAAGACCGGUGCCAGCCGCCGCGGUAACACCGGCGGCUCGAGUGGUAACCGUUAUUAUUGGGUCUAAGGGUCUGUAGCCGGCCGGAUAAGUCUCUUGAGAAAUCUGGCAGCUUAACUGUCAGGCUUUCAGGAGAUACUGUCUGGCUCGAGGCCGGGAGAGGUGAGAGGUACUUCAGGGGUAGGGGUGAAAUCUUGUAAUCCUUGAAGGACCACCAGUGGCGAAGGCGUCUCACCAGAACGGACCUGACGGCAAGGGACGAAAGCUAGGGGCACGAACCG
RNAcentral lists this ribosomal RNA (386 nucleotides) under uncultured bacterium. RNAcentral's name for it is "bacterial SSU rRNA". It matches the Rfam family "Archaeal small subunit ribosomal RNA", at positions 339 to 726 of the family's 1478-position model. The record is from RNAcentral.